Molecule: ribosomal RNA, 495 nt
Filed under: uncultured bacterium
Lineage: Bacteria
Description: partial 16S ribosomal RNA
Rfam family: Bacterial small subunit ribosomal RNA
Source: RNAcentral
GACGAACGCUGGCGGCGUGCCUAAUACAUGCAAGUAGAACGCUGAAGGAGGAGCUUGCUCUUCUGGAUGAGUUGCGAACGGGUGAGUAACGCGUAGGUAACCUGCCUGGUAGCGGGGGGUAACUAUUGGAAACGAUAGCUAAUACCGCAUAAGAGUAGAUGUUGCAUGACAUUUACUUAAAAGGUGCAAUUGCAUCACUACCAGAUGGACCUGCGUUGUAUUAGCUAGUUGGUGGGGUAACGGCUUACCAAGGCGACGAUACAUAGCCGACCUGAGAGGGUGAUCGGCCACACUGGGACUGAGACACGGCCCAGACUCCUACGGGAGGCAGCAGUAGGGAAUCUUCGGCAAUGGACGGAAGUCUGACCGAGCAACGCCGCGUGAGUGAAGAAGGUUUUCGGAUCGUAAAGCUCUGUUGUAAGAGAAGAACGAGUGUGAGAGUGGAAAGUUCACACUGUGACGGUAUCUUACCAGAAAGGGACGGCUAACUACGUG